RNAcentral lists this unclassified non-coding RNA (398 nucleotides) under Saccharum hybrid cultivar. RNAcentral's name for it is "partial contains ITS1, 5.8S rRNA and ITS2". The stretch from base 8 to 149 matches the Rfam family "5.8S ribosomal RNA". The record is from RNAcentral. Lineage: Eukaryota; Viridiplantae; Streptophyta; Magnoliopsida; Poales; Poaceae.
UCUCGGCAAGGAUAUCUUGGCUCUCGCAUCGAUGAAGAACGUAGCAAAAUGCGAUCCUGGUGUGAAUUGCAGAAUCCCGCGAACCAUCGAGUUUUUGAACGCAAGUUGCCCCGAGGCCUUCCGGCCGAGGGCACGUCUCCUGGGCGUCACGCCAAAAGACACUCCCAACCCACCCGAGGGGGAGGGACGUGGUGUUUGGUCCCCCGUGCCGCAGGGCGCGGUGGGCCGAAGUUGGGGCUGCCGGCGAAUCGUGUCGGGCACAGCACGUGGUGGGCGACACUCAGUUGUUCUCGGUGCAGCGCCCCGGCACGCGGCCGGCGCAUCGGCCCUAAGGACCCAAGGAGCACCGCAGCGCGUAGCCCCCCCCACCGCACCCCAGGUCACCUCUGGACUUGGAC